Molecule: ribosomal RNA, 425 nt
Filed under: uncultured bacterium
Lineage: Bacteria
Description: bacterial SSU rRNA
Rfam family: Bacterial small subunit ribosomal RNA
Source: RNAcentral
GUGGGGAAUCUUAGACAAUGGGGGAAACCCUGAUCUAGCCAUGCCGCGUGAUCGAUGAAGGCCUUAGGGUUGUAAAGAUCUUUCAGGUGGGAAGAUAAUGACUGUACCACCAGAAGAAGCCCCGGCUAACUCCGUGCCAGCAGCCGCGGUAAUACGGAGGGGGCUAGCGUUGUUCGGAAUUACUGGGCGUAAAGCGCACGUAGGCGGAUUGGAAAGUUGGGGGUGAAAUCCCGGGGCUCAACCCCGGAACUGCCUUCAAAACUCCCAGUCUUGAGUUCGAGAGAGGUGAGUGGAAUUCCGAGUGUAGAGGUGAAAUUCGUAGAUAUUCGGAGGAACACCAGUGGCGAAGGCGGCUCACUGGCUCGAUACUGACGCUGAGGUGCGAAAGCGUGGGGAGCAAACAGGAUUAGAAACCCGUGUAGUCC